AACGAACGCUGGCGGCAUGCCUAACACAUGCAAGUCGAACGAAACCUUCGUGUCGAGUGUCGCACGGGUGCGUAACGCGUGGUAACCAGCGCUGAGUUUCGGAAUGACUCCCCGAAAGGUGGCCGAAUACCGGAUAAUGUCUUGAUACCAAAGAUUGAUCGCCUUUGGAUGGUCCCGGGUUAGAUUAUCAAGUUGGUAGUUGAAAAGCCAACCAAGGCGACGAUGCAUAGCUGGUCUGAGAGGAUGAUCAGGCACACUGGGACUGAGACACGGCGCAGACUUCUACGGGAGGCAGCAGUGGGGAAUAUUGGACACUGGGCGAGAGCCUGAUCCAGCAAUGUCGCGUGAGUGUUGAAGGACUUAGGGUUGUAAAGCUCUUUUACCCGGGAUGAUAAUGACAGUACCGUGCGAAUAAGGUCCGGCUAACUCCGUG
Molecule: ribosomal RNA, 433 nt
Filed under: uncultured bacterium
Lineage: Bacteria
Description: partial 16S ribosomal RNA
Rfam family: Bacterial small subunit ribosomal RNA
Source: RNAcentral